GGGUUAGUAGGUUGGUCAUGCCUCUGGUAUGUACUGAUCUCACUGAUUCCUCCUUCCUGAUGAGCCGUAAUGCCAUUAAUUUGGUGUUGUGGGGAAUUUGGACUGUUACUUUGAAAAAAUUAGAGUGCUUAAAGCAGGCUAGUGCCUGAAUACAUUAGCAUGGAAUAAUGAAAUAGGACGGCAUGGUUCUAUUUCGUUAGUUUCUAGGAUCACCGUA
This 217-nucleotide ribosomal RNA is filed under the name Campeiostachys nutans. RNAcentral's name for it is "Elymus nutans partial small subunit ribosomal RNA". It matches the Rfam family "Eukaryotic small subunit ribosomal RNA", at positions 644 to 864 of the family's 1831-position model. The record is from RNAcentral. Lineage: Eukaryota; Viridiplantae; Streptophyta; Magnoliopsida; Poales; Poaceae.